GUAAUGUAGACCUAGUCCAAGCA
RNAcentral lists this non-coding RNA (23 nucleotides) under Cricetulus griseus (Chinese hamster). The record is from RNAcentral. Lineage: Eukaryota; Metazoa; Chordata; Mammalia; Rodentia; Cricetidae.